GCAACAACUACCACCACCGCGACUACGGUGGUAGGUUUUGGUUGGUGGUGGAGGAAUUGAGGGGCCAUAAUAGGCUCCGUUUAAGUUAGGUUCUGGUGCCAUAACUUAAACAAAGGAAUACAAAAGAUGUGUUGAGUUUUUUUUGUGUUUAUGAGGAUGAUGUUUUAGUGGAUGAAGAUGAAUUAUUUGUAUUUUGGUAGGUAUAUAUAGGUGUAAAUUGUAAUAUGGAUAUGUGUGUUUUCUUUGUAUGAUUUAUAAAUAGAAGAAAAAGGCCGUGUUUUGGAGGUUGAAGGACGCGCUAGUUUAUUUAUUGGUAGUUUCUUAGAAAUUAUAUUGUGACUAACAAUUAUGUAUAUUAAGUCAUUGACUUGGUAUUUAGUCAAGACUUCUAUUAGGCUAUAGAUGAAUACUUGGUCAAUCUUUUAUGAUUUUGAGUGAUUCUCAUGACUAGGUGUGUACAUGACCGGGUUGGUUUUGAGUUUUUCAAAUAUCAAACCAAAGGCCAUUUGUGUAAAAAAAUUUAAUUUAUAAACCAAACCAAACUAAUAAAAUUUAGAUUUUUUCAACCUCGGGAUGGUUCGGGUUUUUCAAAUACCAAACCAAACCAUUGUGUCGAAUUUUAAAUUUAUAAAUCAAACCAAACUAAACUAAUAAACCUCAGAUUUUUGGAUUUUUUUCGGUAAAGUUUGCAUACAAACAUAUAAUUAACUUGUGUUCCAAAUAUUUCUUUAGUCCAACCAAAAUACAAUUAUCUAAGGUGUUUUUUUAAGAAAUAACACAAAAUAUGAGAUGAGUACUGAUGACACUAAAAUAUUCAAUAAAAAGUAAUAAUGAAAUGAUAAUCAUAUAAAAUAAAUAUUGCAAAGUCAUAAUGAAAAUAAUCAUAAUUUAAAAGUACUAAAUCAUGCUAAAAUAAGUUUAAUAAGUAUUAGUUACAUUAUUAAAUAUUUAAGGAAAAAUAAAAUUAGAUUAUGUAUUUUAAUUGUCUAAAACCAAUGUAAAACUAAAGAACAAAUAUUCAAUAUUAUUGUCAUUCUUAGUGUUGAAUUGAUUUUCUUUUUGCAUUAGUAUUAAUUUGAUUUUGAUUUAAGUUUUAUUAUAAUUAUCAACAUCUAUGAACUAUAAUCUUUAUUGGACCAUUCCGAAUUCUAAGUUUUAAACUUGAAAUAAUAUAUUAAAAGAUAAAAACUAUGAAAUAGUAUAAGAAAUAUUUUAAAAUUAUAUCAAAGUAAAUAAUUUUAUGUAUAAAAUAAAAUUUUAAAAUUACAUAUAUAAUGUUGGGUUGGUUUGGUCUCGGGUUGGGUUUUUUAAGUUAAAACCAAACCAACCCAAAUAUAGUCGGGUUUUUUUUUCCAAUACCAAACCAAGUCAAACCAAAUCACUAGUCAGAUUUUUUUCCCGAUUUGACUCGAUUUACGAUUUGAUUCGAUUUUUGGUUUGGUUGUGUACACUCGGGAUUAAAACUAUAAUUUUUAUUGGACUAUUCCGAAUUCUAUGAACUAUAAACUCGAGAUUAAAUUAAGUUUGAGAUUUAUUUUGUUUUACGAGUAUUAUGAUAUCGAAGGAUGUUAAAGACUCAUAGUUGUAUUUCAAGUAGUGUCUCGAUGGGUGUAUUUUCUUCUUUUCGUUAAUGUGUAAUAUCAAGACUACUAGCCAACAGAAAAAAUCAAUUAUACAGGCAGAAGAGCUGAUUUGACCGUGAAAAUCAAAUACGGACAAAAUUUAUUUAAAGUGUUAGCGCUAUGCCGAUUUAAUUUGCAUACAAGAUUUAGGGAAGUGAGGGCACUCUUUCGAAUUGAAUAGGUAAAACUACUGUAUCUCCUAUUUUUUCGAAAGAAGUCUUCUAACUCGUUUAAAAACGUUGAAGAUAAGAAUAAGUUGAAUUUCAAUUCCACAAUUAUACACAUAUUGCUCAUGUGUACGUAUGAGACUUGUGACUAAAUUGGAAUCUCAAUUAGAACAUUAUGUUUCAUAUUAUGUUGGUAACUUACUUCUCGAUUUUGAGCCCCUUGGAUACGGAGUCGCCUUUGUUAGGAAGCGCUUUACCCCAAUGUGGAAUUUCUUGGCGCGAAUUCGGAUUUAGUCGGGCUCCAAUGUGGUAUCAUGGAAAAAAAAAAGAUGUUUUGAGACAACUUUUGUUGGGCAGCUGUGCUGUCUAUUUUUGCUCCACUUUCCCAAAUAUGCCAUAACACAACAACAUUAUCCUACCAAACUCUAUUUUCGUAUUCAUUAUGAAAAGGAAAAAUGUUACACUUAUCUAUAUUUAUUGAUUUUUACAACGAAUUUAUAAGUUAAUAUUAUCAUAAUAAUUAAUUGAGUUUACAAUUAAUUAUUUAUAAAUAUGAGUCUAAUUUCGUAUAUAUAGGAAAUAUUCCCUUUUAAUCCAACAAGACUUUAGUCUUUUACGAAUGUAAUAAAGCUUCACUUCCAUCUCAUAAAUCCACGAACUCUUGUCAUUGUUGUAAUUCGAUUUUUCUUUAUCUCCCAAUAGAACAAAACUCUGUCCUUUAAACACUGGAUGCAAAUUGAUAGUAUUUUUAUGACUAGAAAAUCUAUCGCCUCCAUACAUAUUAUCUCUUGUUUUAAUUGAAUCGUAGCAAAUCUCAACAUGCCUAUUAAUGGUAGUCAUGUUGAGGGAAAAAUCGUAGUAAAAGCUUUUGUUCGUGUUGGAUAAAUCGAAUUGUGUGAACAUGUCAUCUGUCACAUAAAAUUUGAUUUUGUUAGAACGUAGAACUAGCCAGAGGACUAAUAACGCGAUGAUUCCGAUGAUCAUGAGAAAGAUGAAGAUAAUUUUGAACAGGUAGUUGAAGUCGGCUACAUGGAUUGGGUUCUGGCAUUUUAAGAAAUACAAAAGUAACUAAAAUUGUGUUUAUUUUGAAGUAUAUUAUAUAUUGAAUCAAAAAUAUGUUUUUGUGUUAGAUUGGAACUAUGGAAUAUUGGUAAGCUAAAGGUGAUUAUAUAAUAAUUAAAUAGAAGAAAAAGGUAGUUUGAUAUUUUCAAAAGCACCUUCUUAGAAAUUGAACACAUUGUAACGAAGAUUGCGCGUAGUAUUUAAUUAUUUAUUAUCAAGACUAUUCUCAUUGAAAAAAUCUUCAAAUUCUUUCGUCACAAUUUAAGUGUCUUAGUUUGAUUGGAUAUGAAAUGAAAAAAUAAAGAAAAACUCUUGAUUUUUUGUAAUCUAAAAUUAAAAAUGUGUGCAAUCCUUUAAAGCUCGCGGUCUUAAUCUUGUCACAUGGAAUCUCGGACUUGGAAAACUUAAAUUGGAAUAUAGAGGGAGUAGUAAAAAUUAUUUUUGUACAUUUUCAAGUAACGAUAUAAUAAGAAAAAAGUCACUACGACAAAGAUUGUGAUAAAGUGGUAAGUCAAAGUUUCGAGUUAUAAUCCUCUGAGUACGGAGUUAUCUUUGUUAUGAAGCGCUUUAUUCCCAAAGUGGGACUUCUUGACAUGACUCCAAAUUUAAUCGGACUCCAAUGUUAAUACCAGACACCAGAUAAAAAACCACAAAAAAAAAAAUCACUAAAAUUACAUGUCUCGUACUCUUAUUUGUAGUUUACCUCUCAAGUGAAAGUACUUUUUUUCACGGACUAAAUUUGAAUUUACACCAAGAAAUCUUUCAAAUGAAAUAUUUCCUAACAAACGCGACUUCUUAUACUACUUACCUCUCCAUCACAUUUUUUUUUCGCGAUCGAUCAUUACCACUUUCAAUUCAUAUUACUCUGGAACAUACUGCGCCACCACUUCUCUAAUAAGCCAAAUCACAUCAACAUUAACCUUUGCAAAUUCUCUUUUUCAUAUUUAUUAUGAAGCCAAAACAUGUUAAUUUCACAUGCCUGGUCUUAUUGAAGUAGAAAAAUUUGUGUCACAAUCAAGACAGACAUUUUGGCAAAUGGCUUAUUGGCUAGUCACAUUCACAAGUCUCCAUCAUUUAUUCAUUUGUAAGAAAAACAAUGUCAAUAGCUUAAUGUCAACAUAAAUUGAUCUUAUAUUAAAAUGUCUAUGGUUAAUUUUUCAAUCGAUAAUUAAUCGAAGUUGACGUUAAGAGGUAUAACUCUACCUUGAAAUGACUCGAACUCAUAUAUAUCAAGUAAAUAUAGUUGAGCUACUAAUUCGAGAAUCUACAUUACACACCGUGACAUAUUCAAGAUUUUCAGUAAGGAAUCACGAAAAAUAAAAUAUGUUGUGUUUGAGAUAUGAACUUGAAACCUCGAGUGAAGUAUGAACCCCUAAUCAGUCUAUGUAUAUUUUUAAGUUUAAGGGAUUCAAAAUUUUAUAUAUAUAUUUAAUACAUUUUUUGUCGAGCGAGUGGGUUCGGGUGAAUCCCCUCCUGACCCCCUAGAUCCGCCCCUGUCUGCAGAAAAUUAACAUGAUUUUUCCCAAUAAAGGUAAAAGUAAAAGAUUUUUUGAUUAAUUGAGUAGGCAUGGGAAAAUGUCUUACUAGGGAGAUUUUUCGGACUUAUCUAUAUGACAAUAUAUUGAAUAAUGAAAUUUGUGGAUUUCUUUAACCAGGCCAGCUAUCCUUAGAAGGGUAGGAAUAUAUAUCAAAAUAGAAUUUAUAUCGAAAAAUAAUUAGAACUAUUAACAUCAAGCUAGAAAAUUCUUUCGAAACUUCCACAGAUAUUUAUAUUGGGUGUAUACUCUCUCCAUUCCGAUUUACGUAAUAGUGAUAUAAGAAACAAAAUAUAAAAGAGAAAACAAGUCUUUUAAAGCAACCAAUAUGUAUAUUUCUGUAAUGUCAACCUUAGCCUUUUCUUGACCUUUACUUUAUGUUCUCUAUGUGAAAAGCAAAAUGUCAACUUUGCCUUUUCUUCAAAAUUAAAAUUUGGCUUUAAUACACUUUAAUUAACUUCCAAACUACUAUAUUAAUAAACAAAAAACUAUAGAAUCCAAAUUCCAGGAUAAAGAAAAUCAGCAGAAAUAAAACAAACUCAUUAUUUAUUAACAACCAUAAUAUAUAUCCAAAUAACAAGAAAGGAGAUAAAUCCCCUAAUCAAGAAAUUAUACUAAUAUAAUCCAAUGAAUAUAGGAAAUACAACAAAUCACAAAUAAAAAAAAAAUAAAAAAAAAUUACCAAUCAAGAUGGCACCUAGUUACAUCAAAAUUAACAGAUCUGCCACUAGACUCCAAAGGUACCUUAAAAUCACACUCAAUUUUGGGCUUAAUUUUGUGAGUUUUAAUCCAACCAAUCUUUAGCCUUAUACGCAUAUAAAGCUUCAUUUCCAUCUCAUAAAUCCCUAAAUUCUUCUCAUUAUUAUAAUUUGUUUUCUCUCUAUCUCCCAAUAGAACCAAAUUUUGUCCUUUAAAUACUGGAUGCAAAUAGCUAGUAUUUUUGUGACCUUGAUAAAAUCGUUCCAAAUUUUGACUAGCAAAUCUCUGGCCUUGAUACAUACCUCUUGCUUCGAUCGAAUCGUAGUAAAUCCCGAUUCGUUUGUUAGGGUUCCUAAUAGUCAUGUUGAGUGCAAGAUCAUAGUAGAGGGUGUUGUUUGUAGUGGAAUAAUCGAAUUGUGUCAAUGUGGCAUCUGUCACAUAGAAAUUGACCUUGUUAGGACGUAGGACUAGCCAGAGGACUAAUGCAAUGACUCCGAGGACGAUGAGGAUGGUGAAGAUGAUUUGAAAAAUACAGUUGCAUAGGCAACCGAAGAGGCAGCUGCAAGGGUUGCAGCUGCUUCCCCGUCCAUGUCGGUGGUAGGAUUUGGACGGGGGCGGAAUGGAUGGGCCAUAAUAGGCUCCGUUCAAGUUGGACAUAGCUUAUAACAAAUACAAGAAAGUCAAAAUUCAGUACAACUUUUUUUUUCUUUGUUCCUUUGGUGUAAUAUAAGAUGAAAAAAAAUAUAUAGAUGAGAGUUAUGAUCCUAUGGUGAGUUCAGGUUAAUUUAUAUAGGUGUUUGUAUAGUCUAUGAUUUAAUGUGUAUAUUAUUUGAGUAGGUAAAAUAUGUUGAAUUGGUAAGCAAAAGUGGAUUGAUUUGAAUAAAAUACCGUGUUUUUAUGUUCUUUGAAAUGACGACGCGGUUGCUUCUUGGCAAGACUUCGCAUAUAAACGCUACAUCAUUCUCAAUCAGAGAUCUCAAAUUCGAGUUUUUUAAUACAGAGUCAUCUUCGUUAGGUAGAGUUUUAUCCAUGUGGAAUUUUUCGACGUGAUUUCAAAUUUAGUCGGACUCCAAUAUUAAUAUCAAACAUUGAAUGAAAAAAAAAAACUUAAAACCUGUUUGGAUUGACUUUUAACUUUUGCAUUUGGCUCGGAAGGCUUGCUUACUAAGUACGUAGUAAUUAAUUUAUUAUUGCUAAAAAUGGUAAGAGACGUAAGUUUGAAAUAUGAGAUGAAUAAGAUAAUAAAAUGUCUAAUCAUCGAAAGAAUGUUUAACAUAAUGGAUAAAGUCAGAAAGAAAGAAGAUUUUUUGAUGAGCUAAUAUUGAUGUCUCAAGUUCAAUUAACUACUCUAAUUUUACUAUUUCUAUUCAAAUUAAUAAUUAAAAACAAAACACAAUUUUGAAUUUUACUGUGUUGAAAAAAAAGAAAUUGGUUUUCUUUUAGUUUUUUCAAGAGGAUACAUCAAUAACCUCUUUAAUUUAUCAAUAAAUUUUAUUUAGACACUAAAAUAUGGCAUAUUUCAUGCGAAUACAUGAAUAUAUGAUAAAGUUAUCCUAUUAGACACAUUUAGUUUAAAUUUAGAAAAUUCUUUUGCAAUUUCUUAUUGCAUAGAUUAGUUAAUCACAUAAAAUAUGACUCAUAUAUGAUAUAGUAAUACAUUAGCCUCAAUUGGAACAUAUUUUUUUUAACUUAAGGAACAUGCUUGAGGUUUUACAAUUCAUUCAAUCUAAUGUAUAAUUAAGAAAAAUGAAAUAUUUUAAGUAAUUAACUUAUCUAGAUAAACGUUUGAAAACAUAUUCAAAGCAUUUCCAAAAUUGACUGUAAAUAUCUAGUAGGAAUACUUUAUGAUGUAUUGAGUUGCUCAAAUAAAAUAGACCAUCAUUUAAGAAAUUAUCGACAUAUUUAAUUAAUUUUGUAAGCUUCAAAUCAUGACUUUCAUUAUCAGACAAACCACGUGUCCUACUAAACUGCUUUAAAAAUUCAAAUAAGAUCAAACAUAUAUAUAUCAUUUUCACUUGAAAUUGUCUUCAUAGAAGUUUCCACUUUUUUUCUAUUUCCUUUUUAUUUAGUCAUGAACUAAAAAUUCAACAACAUAUAAGUAUGAAACUAAUCUUUUAUUUACGCGUGACAAUUUUAUUUUUAAAAAAAUAACAGCGACCCUUAAAAUACCAUGUAUACAAAUUUCAACAUCAAUGUAUAUUUAGUCAUAAAAUGAGACUUUUCAUUACCUAAUCAACAUAUAUAUGAUACCUACAUGGAGUAUUUGAUUUUGACUAUAUUGUUUGAAAUACAUUUUAUAUUAAAUCCGAGUGGUUAGGUUGUGAAAUAAGAAAAUGCUAUAGAAACAAAUGUAUGUAAGCUAAUUAUAAUUAAAAUCCAAUUGGAAACGCAUUACGUGUUCACGCAGGGUGAGGGAAAGGAUCGCACCUCAAGAAAUAAGAAAAUGCUAUAGAAACAAAUGUAUGUAAGCUAAUUAUAAUUAAAACUCAAUUGGAAACGCAUUACAUGUUCACCUCAAGAAAUGCGAUGUAAAUUGUCUAUGCUAAAGCAAAUAUUAGUGAUUGUUUUCACAACUCGAAUUUGUGAUCUAUAAAUCACAUGAAGACAACGUUAUUGUUACUUUAAAGGCUCCUGUUCAAUUAAAACCCAAGUACAUUGCAUAGAUUAUGUGAAAAACUUUGAUGGGGGAUUUCUAGGAAUAAUGUAAACAAUCUUCUAUGAAACAUCGGCACAAUCCUAUGUAACUCAGCUACAAUUUAGAUUGUGAACCUUUCCCUUGCGAUAUGUAUUUAUACAAAUGUAAUUAUAUAUAUUGACGAUUGACUAGUAAUUAAAGUAAUUCAUACUUUAUUUGUGGAAUCAGACUGAAUAUAU
Molecule: long non-coding RNA, 7959 nt
Filed under: Solanum tuberosum (potato)
Lineage: Eukaryota; Viridiplantae; Streptophyta; Magnoliopsida; Solanales; Solanaceae
Description: long non-coding RNA (STUB_LNC010284)
Source: RNAcentral